GAAAAAAAUAACUAUGUGAUUUACAACAAUAGUUUGUAUGAUUAUGUCAACGUAAUUGUGUAUUUAUGGAACAAUAAGAACAAAUAAAAAUUUAACAGUCCCGAUUUAUAUAAUAUCUGGGUGUUAUAUUUCUAUAAUGGAUAGGAAUGACUUCUAUAUCAAUACUGACCUCAGAAUUGAUGACAAAGACAUUGACCUUGCAAUUCAGAGAGGCGAACUUAACGUAUCUGAUAUUGUAAUUAAAGGAAGACAUUUAAAUCACGUCUCUCAUAUAGUACUUUAGAUAAUGAGGUAUCGAAGGACCUAGAUUUCCGUCAAGCUCUCACUGAUAUGAUCACUGGAAAUCAAGAAAAAACUUCUUUGUAUAACUAAUAAUUAUGACAUCACUGCUUUAGUUGCGGUAUUAUUUUCAGAGGUAAUCAGAAAUCCAGUAUGAUAUUUAUAAACCUAAUUGCAUGACAAUGGGAUUCCUUACAUUGUUGGACUGACUUCCACCAGCACCUGCCACCUUAGCUGGGGGAACCUGGAAAAAUAAACAGGAGUACUGUCCCAAAUUUAUGGAACGGCUAAACUUUUUUUUUUUCAAAAACAUUUUCUGAAACAUUUUCUGAAAUUAUUGAAGAUGGAUUUUCUUUGAAAAUUGAAUUAUUUGAGAAAGUUGUCCUUCAUGGAAGGGGUGGGUGGUGAGGGUCCAAAUAAAACAAAAUAAAACAUCCCAAAAUGUUAUUAAAAUAUCAACAAAUUCAUCUUCAAUAUCCCCCACGUUGCUCCACCUCCGCUUCUGGGAGGAGCCAGAGCGGGGCCACAGAGCGGAGUCCUCCAUCUCAUCCCACCAACUCUGUCAGUCCACCAGGCCACUGCAAGUAACAGCCACAUCUUCACGUCACAAAGCUUCAGUACUAUCUCAAUGGGUUGAAGUACCUCCAGGAUCCUGUGGCAACGUCAAUGUGAAACAGCAUUGAUCCGUGAUCACCACCAACCAGGCCUCC
Non-coding RNA from Salvelinus sp. IW2-2015, 989 nucleotides. The record is from RefSeq and is a predicted model, not a curated record. NCBI's taxonomy places the organism in Eukaryota, Metazoa, Chordata, Actinopteri, Salmoniformes, Salmonidae.